GGGGCCGUAGUGAAGAGGCCUAUCACGUCUCCCUGUCACGGAGAAGAACGCCGGUUCGAAUCCGGUCGGUCCCGCCU
This 77-nucleotide transfer RNA is filed under the name Candidatus Daviesbacteria bacterium RIFCSPHIGHO2_01_FULL_38_8. RNAcentral describes it as "tRNA-Asp". It matches the Rfam family "tRNA". From Rfam's summary of the family: Transfer RNA (tRNA) molecules are approximately 80 nucleotides in length. The record is from RNAcentral. Lineage: Bacteria; Candidatus Daviesiibacteriota.